Molecule: transfer RNA, 86 nt
Filed under: Xenopus tropicalis (tropical clawed frog)
Lineage: Eukaryota; Metazoa; Chordata; Amphibia; Anura; Pipidae
Description: Xenopus (Silurana) tropicalis (western clawed frog) tRNA
Rfam family: tRNA
About the family: Transfer RNA (tRNA) molecules are approximately 80 nucleotides in length.
Source: Rfam by way of RNAcentral
GGCUCUGUGGCGCAAUGGAUAGCGCAUUGGACUUCUACAUAAAUAAAGGUAUUCAAAGGUUGUGGGUUCGAGUCCCACCAGAGUCG